UACGAAGGGGGCUAGCGUUGUUCAGAAUUACUGGGCGUAAAGCGCACGUAGGCGGAUACUUAAGUCAGGGGUGAAAUCCCGGGGCUCAACCCCGGAACUGCCUUUGAUACUGGGUAUCUCGAGUCCGGAAGAGGUGAGUGGAAUUCCGAGUGUAGAGGUGAAAUUCGUAGAUAUCGUAAGGAAGACCAGUGGCGAAGGCGGGUCUCUGGGCAUUUCCUGACGCUGAGACGCGAAAGCGUGGGGAGCGAACCGG
Molecule: ribosomal RNA, 253 nt
Filed under: uncultured bacterium
Lineage: Bacteria
Description: partial 16S ribosomal RNA
Rfam family: Bacterial small subunit ribosomal RNA
Source: RNAcentral